RNAcentral lists this ribosomal RNA (253 nucleotides) under uncultured bacterium. Its description in RNAcentral is "partial 16S ribosomal RNA". It matches the Rfam family "Bacterial small subunit ribosomal RNA", at positions 524 to 776 of the family's 1533-position model. The record is from RNAcentral.
UACGGAGGGUGCAAGCGUUAUCCGGAUUUAUUGGGCUUAAAGGGCGCGUAGGCGGUUAUGUAAGUCAGUGGUGAAAUCUCUAGGCUUAACCUGGAAAUUGCCGUUGAUACUAUAUAUCUUGAAUGCUGUGGAGGUAAGCGGAAUAUGUCAUGUAGCGGUGAAAUGCUUAGAUAUGACAUAGAACACCUAUUGCGAAGGCAGCAGGCUAAGCAAAGAUUGACGCUGAGGCUCGAAAGCGUGGGGAUCAAACAGG